UACGUAGGGUGCGAGCGUUAAUUGGAAUUACUGGGCGUAAAGCGUGCGCAGGCGGUCUGUUAAGACCGAUGUGAAAUCCCCGGGCUUAACCUGGGAACUGCAUUGGUGACUGGCAGGCUUUGAGUGUGGCAGAGGGAGGUAGAAUUCCACGUGUAGCAGUGAAAUGCGUAGAGAUGUGGAGGAAUACCGAUGGCGAAGGCAGCCUCCUGGGCCAACACUGACGCUCAUGCACGAAAGCGUGGGGAGCAAACAGG
Molecule: ribosomal RNA, 254 nt
Filed under: uncultured bacterium
Lineage: Bacteria
Description: partial 16S ribosomal RNA
Rfam family: Bacterial small subunit ribosomal RNA
Source: RNAcentral